RNAcentral lists this ribosomal RNA (593 nucleotides) under uncultured bacterium. Its description in RNAcentral is "bacterial SSU rRNA". It matches the Rfam family "Bacterial small subunit ribosomal RNA", at positions 97 to 702 of the family's 1533-position model. The record is from RNAcentral.
GGCGGACGGGUGAGUAACGCGUGGGUAACCUGCCUUAUACAGGGGAAUAAUCACUGGAAACGGUGACUAAUACCGCAUGAGACCACGAGGAGGCAUCUUUUUGUGGGGAAAGGAGCAAUCCGGUAUAAGAUGGACCCGCGUCUGAUUAGCUAGUUGGUGAGAUAACAGCCCACCAAGGCAACGAUCAGUAGCCGACCUGAGAGGGUGAUCGGCCACAUUGGGACUGAGACACGGCCCAAACUCCUACGGGAGGCAGCAGUGGGGAAUAUUGCACAAUGGGGGGAACCCUGAUGCAGCAACGCCGCGUGAAGGAAGAAGGUUUUCGGAUCGUAAACUUCUAUCAAUAGGGACGAAAGAAAUGACGGUACCUAAAUAAGAAGCCCCGGCUAACUACGUGCCAGCAGCCGCGGUAAUACGUAGGGGGCAAGCGUUAUCCGGAAUUACUGGGUGUAAAGGGAGCGUAGGCGGCAUGGUAAGCCAGAUGUGAAAGCCCGCAGCUUAACUGCGAGGAUUGCAUUUGGAACUAUCAAGCUAGAGUACAGGAGAGGUAAGCGGAAUUCCUAGUGUAGCGGUGAAAUGCGUAGAUAUUAGGA